AUACGUAGGGGGCAAGCGUUGUCCGGAUUUACUGGGUGUAAAGGGCGCGCAGGCGGGUUGACAAGUCAGAGGUGAAAUCCUGCAGCUUAACUGCAGAACUGCCUUUGAAACUGUUAAUCUUGAGUACGGAAGAGAGAGACGGAAUUCCAGGUGUAGUGGUGAAAUACGUAGAUAUCUGGAAGAACACCAGUUGCGAAGGCGGUCUCUUGGUCCGUUACUGACGCUCAGGCGCGAAAGCGUGGGUAGCAAACAGGAUUAGAUACCCUGGUAGUCCACGCUGUAAACGAUGAAUACUAGGUGUUGGAUCGCAAGAUUCAGUGCCGCAGCUAACGCAUUAAGUAUUCCACCUGGGGAGUACGAUCGCAAGGUUGAA
This 373-nucleotide ribosomal RNA is filed under the name uncultured bacterium. Its description in RNAcentral is "bacterial SSU rRNA". It matches the Rfam family "Bacterial small subunit ribosomal RNA", at positions 523 to 898 of the family's 1533-position model. The record is from RNAcentral.